AGAGUUUGAUCAUGGCUCAGAAUGAACGCUGGCGGCGUGCUUUACUCAUGCAAGUCGAGCGAGGCGGGGAGCAAUCCCCAGUCGAGCGGCGAACGGGUGAGUAACGCGUGGAUGACCUGCCCUUGAGCGGGGAAUAACCCGGGGAAACUCGGGCUAAUACCGCAUACGACCGAGAGGUGAAAGGGGGCUCGCAAGGGCUCUCGCUGAAGGAGGGGUCCGCGUCCGAUUAGCUAGUUGGUAGGGUAAUGGCCUACCAAGGCGACGAUCGGUAGCCGGCCUGAGAGGGUGAUCGGCCACACUGGAACUGAGACACGGUCCAGACUCCUACGGGAGGCAGCAGUGGGGAAUUUUGCGCAAUGGGCUAACGCCUGACGCAGCAACGCCGCGUGGAGGAUGAAGGUCUUUGGAUUGUAAACUCCUGUCAGCGGGGAAAAAGGGACCUGACCUCAUACGUCAGGGACUUGAUUGUACCCGCAGAGGAAGCCCCGGCUAACUCUGUGCCAGCAGCCGCGGUAAUACAGAGGGGGCAAGCGUUAUUCGGAAUUAUUGGGCGUAAAGGGCGCGUAGGCGGCUUUGCAAGUGACGGGUGAAAGCCCUCGGCUUAACCGAGGAACUGCCUGUCAGACUGUGAGGCUUGAGACCGGGAGAGGUGAGUGGAAUUCCCAGUGUAGCGGUGAAAUGCGUAGAUA
Molecule: ribosomal RNA, 689 nt
Filed under: uncultured bacterium
Lineage: Bacteria
Description: bacterial SSU rRNA
Rfam family: Bacterial small subunit ribosomal RNA
Source: RNAcentral